AACUGAAGAGUUUGAUCAUGGCUCAGAUUGAACGCUGGCGGCAGGCUUAACACAUGCAAGUCGAGCGGGGGAAGGUAGCUUGCUACUGGACCUAGCGGCGGACGGGUGAGUAAUGCUUAGGAAUCUGCCUAUUAGUGGGGGACAACAUCUCGAAAGGGAUGCUAAUACCGCAUACGUCCUACGGGAGAAAGCAGGGGAUCUUCGGACCUUGCGCUAAUA
Molecule: ribosomal RNA, 219 nt
Filed under: Acinetobacter baumannii
Lineage: Bacteria; Pseudomonadati; Pseudomonadota; Gammaproteobacteria; Moraxellales; Moraxellaceae
Description: partial 16S ribosomal RNA
Rfam family: Bacterial small subunit ribosomal RNA
Source: RNAcentral